RNAcentral lists this ribosomal RNA (486 nucleotides) under Shewanella sp. BAB560. RNAcentral's name for it is "bacterial SSU rRNA". It matches the Rfam family "Bacterial small subunit ribosomal RNA", at positions 42 to 519 of the family's 1533-position model. Lineage: Bacteria; Pseudomonadati; Pseudomonadota; Gammaproteobacteria; Alteromonadales; Shewanellaceae. The record is from RNAcentral.
GCGGCCUAAUACAUGCAAGUCGAGCGGCAGCACAAGGGAGUUUAUUCUGAGGUGGCGAGCGGCGGACGGGUGAGUAAUGCCUAGGGAUCUGCCCAGUCGAGGGGGAUAACAGUUGGAAACGACUGCUAAUACCGCAUACGCCCUACGGGGGAAAGAGGGGGACCUUCGGGCCUCUCGCGAUUGGAUGAACCUAGGUGGGAUUAGCUAGUUGGUGAGGUAAUGGCUCACCAAGGCGACGAUCCCUAGCUGUUCUGAGAGGAUGAUCAGCCACACUGGGACUGAGACACGGCCCAGACUCCUACGGGAGGCAGCAGUGGGGAAUAUUGCACAAUGGGGGAAACCCUGAUGCAGCCAUGCCGCGUGUGUGAAGGAGGGCCUUCGGGUUGUAAAGCACUUUCAGUAGGGAGGAAAGGGUGAGUCUUAAUACGGCUCAUCUGUGACGUUACCUACAGAAGAGGACCGGCUAACUCCGUGCCAGCAGCCGCG